Molecule: ribosomal RNA, 447 nt
Filed under: uncultured bacterium
Lineage: Bacteria
Description: partial 16S ribosomal RNA
Rfam family: Bacterial small subunit ribosomal RNA
Source: RNAcentral
AGCGAACGCUGGCGGCAGGCUUAACACAUGCAAGUCGAACGCCCCGCAAGGGGAGUGGCAGACGGGUGAGUAACACGUGGGAACGUACCCUUUGGUUCGGAAUAACUUGGGGAAACUCAAGCUAAUACCGGAUAAGCCCUUAUGGGGAAAGGUUUACUGCCGAAGGAUCGGCCCGCGUCUGAUUAGCUAGUUGGUGAGGUAAUGGCUCACCAAGGCGACGAUCAGUAGCUGGUCUGAGAGGAUGAUCAGCCACACUGGGACUGAGACAUGGCCCAGACUCCUACGGGAGGCAGCAGUGGGGAAUAUUGGACAAUGGGGGCAACCCUGAUCCAGCCAUGCCGCGUGAGUGAUGAAGGCCCUAGGGUUGUAAAGCUCUUUUACCCGGGACGAUAAUGACUGUACCGGGAGAAUAAGCCCCGGCUAACUUCGUGCCAGCCGCCGCUGUAA